UGGCGUCAUGCUAUGAAAGAAGAGUUGGGGUCGAUCCAUGACAAUAAUACAUGGGAGCUUGUGGAUCUUUCCAACAAUGAAAAGGCGAUAGAGCUCAAGUGGCAAUUUAAGGUCAGGAAAGAUGUUGAAGGGUGCAUGAAGCACAAAGUGAGGUUUGUGGCCAAAGAGUAUGUGCAAGAGGAAAGUAUGGACUUCGAAGAAGUGUUCGUUCUCAUUACAAAGAUGGAGUCGGUGAGAUUACUCAUCGCUCUCGCGGCUCAGGAAUCAUGGAAGAUACAUCACAUGGAUGUAAACUCCGCGUUUUUGAACGGCGAGAUAGAAGGAGAUGUGUAUGUGAAUCAACCGCCGGGUUUCAUCAAAGAGGGAAAAGAGCACAAGGUACUGAAGUUACACAAAAUCUUGUAUGGGCUAUGGCAAGGACCUCGGGAGUGGAACAUCAAACUUGAUCGGACAUUGAUUUCUCUUGGAUUUGAGAAAGCUCCACUAGAGCAUGCAAUGUACAAGAGAGGUGAAGGAAGGGAUCGUCUACUAGUUGGCAUCUACGUCGACGACCUAUUGAUUACUGGAGCAGAUGAAGAGGUGAUUGCAAAGUUCAAGUUACAAAUGAAGGAGAUUUUCAAGAGUGAUGAUCUAGGUCUUUUGAGCUUCUACCCCAGGAUAGAGGUACAUCAAAAGACAGAGGAGAUCACACUAUGCCAGGAGGCAUACACAAGGAAGAUACUUGAAAACUGUGGCAUGAAAGAUUGCAAUCUAAUUGAAGCUUCAAUGAAACCUCGUCUUGAACUGAGCAAGAAGAGUAAAGCACCCGCAGUUGAUGCAAUAGAGUAUAUUGCAGCUGCCACUGCGAUGUGUCAAGGUGUGUGGCUAGGGAGGCUGCACGGUGAUCUCAUGGAUCGAGAUCCGGAACAA
RNAcentral lists this ribosomal RNA (909 nucleotides) under Triticum aestivum (bread wheat). RNAcentral's name for it is "partial small subunit ribosomal RNA". The record is from RNAcentral. Lineage: Eukaryota; Viridiplantae; Streptophyta; Magnoliopsida; Poales; Poaceae.